AGUGAACGCUGGCGGUAGGCCUAACACAUGCAAGUCGAACGGCAGCACAGUAAGAGCUUGCUCUUACGGGUGGCGAGUGGCGGACGGGUGAGGAAUACAUCGGAAUCUACUUUUUCGUGGGGGAUAACGUAGGGAAACUUACGCUAAUACCGCAUACGACCUACGGGUGAAAGCAGGGGAUCUUCGGACCUUGCGCGAUUGAAUGAGCCGAUGUCGGAUUAGCUAGUUGGCGGGGUAAAGGCCCACCAAGGCGACGAUCCGUAGCUGGUCUGAGAGGAUGAUCAGCCACACUGGAACUGAGACACGGUCCAGACUCCUACGGGAGGCAGCAGAGGGGAAUAUUGGACAAUGGGCGCAAGCCUGAUCCAGCCAGACCGCGUGGGUGAAGAAGGCCUUCGGGUUGUAAAGCCCUUUUGUUGGGAAAGAAAAGCAGCAGGUUAAUACCCCGCUGUUCUGACGGUACCCAAAGAAUAAGCACCGGCUAACUUCGUG
This 492-nucleotide ribosomal RNA is filed under the name uncultured bacterium. Its description in RNAcentral is "partial 16S ribosomal RNA". It matches the Rfam family "Bacterial small subunit ribosomal RNA", at positions 29 to 507 of the family's 1533-position model. The record is from RNAcentral.